RNAcentral lists this unclassified non-coding RNA (371 nucleotides) under Hevea brasiliensis (rubber tree). Lineage: Eukaryota; Viridiplantae; Streptophyta; Magnoliopsida; Malpighiales; Euphorbiaceae. The record is from RNAcentral.
AUUAUUUCCAGACCAUGCAAGCUGAGCGAACUUUAUCCAGCCCAAAUGCCAAAAAUAGCAACCGAACACAAGGAGGAUUGUUGAGGAAUGGACAGCAACAGAGGAGCCUUUCAAUACCAAAUGGUUCCCAUGCAUCUCCUCACCAUCAUCAAUACCCCCAUCAAUCGCCAAAACCCAAUGGAAAACCAUAGCACAUGGUCAGUAAUUAUCUCCUUUUCUCCAACCCUUUGCAUCAUUCAAUUCUUUCCCUUUGUUCCCAAUAUAGAUAUAUUUUCUGUGAAAGCAUUUGUUCUUGGACACCAGAAAAAGCAAUGGGAACAUUUCCGCCGUAUGUUGUGUUUAGAAUGAUGCAAAGGGUUGGAGAAAAGGAG